CAGGGGGAUAAGCGGAAGAAAUUCCGUCUAAUACCGCAUAAUACAAUUUGGAGACAUCUCCGGGUUGUCAAAGGAGUGAUCCGGCAGAGGAUGGACAUGCGGCGCAUUAGCUAGUCGGCGGGGCAACGGCCCACCGAGGCUACGAUGCGUAGGGGUUCUGAGAGGAAGGUCCCCCACACUGGUACUGAGACACGGACCAGACUCCUACGGGAGGCAGCAGUGAGGAAUAUUGGUCAAUGGGCGGAAGCCUGAACCAGCCAAGUCGCGUGAGGGAAGACGGUCCUAUGGAUUGUAAACCUCUUUUGCAGGGGAACAAGGCGCGGUACGUGUACCGCGAAGGAGAGUACCCUGAGAAAAAGCAUCGGCUAACUCCGUGCCAGCAGCCGCGGUAAUACGGAAGAUGCGAGCGUUAUCCGGAUUUAUUGGGUUUAAAGGGUGCGCAGGCGGACUGUUAAGUCAGCGGUAAAAUGUCGGUGCUCAACACCGGCCGGCCGUUGAAACUGGCAGCCUUGAGUGAGCGAGAAGUAUGCGGAAUGCGUGGUGUAGCGGUGAAAUGCAUAGAUAUCACGCAGAACUCCGAUUGCGAAGGCAGCAUACCGGCGCUCAACUGACGCUCAGGCACGAAAGCGUGGGUAUCGAACAGGCUUAGAUACCCUGGUAGUCCACGCAGUAAACGAUGAAUACUGACUGUCCGGGCCGUUUAAGGCCUGGGUGGUCAAG
RNAcentral lists this ribosomal RNA (720 nucleotides) under uncultured bacterium. RNAcentral describes it as "bacterial SSU rRNA". It matches the Rfam family "Bacterial small subunit ribosomal RNA", at positions 136 to 851 of the family's 1533-position model. The record is from RNAcentral.